Molecule: transfer RNA, 85 nt
Filed under: Nitrospira sp.
Lineage: Bacteria; Pseudomonadati; Nitrospirota; Nitrospiria; Nitrospirales; Nitrospiraceae
Also listed under: 2 other names
Description: tRNA-Leu
Rfam family: tRNA
About the family: Transfer RNA (tRNA) molecules are approximately 80 nucleotides in length. Their secondary structure includes four short double-helical elements and three loops (D, anti-codon, and T loops).
Source: RNAcentral
GCCGAAGUGGUGGAAUUGGUAGACACGCAUGUUUGAGGGGCAUGUGGGUUUUCCCGUGGGGGUUCAAAUCCCCCCUUCGGCACCA